Patella vulgata (common limpet) is the source of this 934-nucleotide long non-coding RNA. RefSeq lists it as uncharacterized. Lineage: Eukaryota; Metazoa; Mollusca; Gastropoda; Patellidae. The transcript has 3 exons. The record is from RefSeq and is a predicted model, not a curated record.
UGAGGUUCGUGUGCAAAGUUAGUUUAUAAACUCGGGUCAAAACCGACAAUUUUAUAGAUUCUGUUGUUGAAACAAUUUGGAGUUAAUUCCUGGAACGUGAAUUAUACAUUUCCUACAGCGAUGUCUGAUAAAGCUACAUGUUGUGAAGGUGAGACUGAUUGUUGUGCAGAUAAAGAUUGCUGUACAACAGAAACAGAUUGUUGUAAAACUGGUACCACGUCUACAUGUUGUACUACUAUGUCCGAUUCCUGUAAAUGUACAAAAGACAACUGUACCUGUGGAUCGGGAUGCACUGGUACGUCCAACUGUAAAUGUGGCCACGGCUGUGCCUGUAAAUAAUUCCGGAGGAUAUAUUUGUUUUAUUUACAUUAUUUAUGUAUUAUAGUCUAUGAUACAAUCGUGUCCUACGAUAAAUUAACAGAACACAGUUUUUAUGUGAAACAAUCACUGGUUUAUUCUAAAAGCACGACGUUUCGACAAGUAUCCUCUUAUCGUUAUCAAGCACAAUGACAUUUAGUAAACUUAGGAUGAAUAUAUAGGAGUUGCAUGGUAUAACAUAGUUUGAGUUAAUAGAAAUAAAAUGUUGCAUCCAGAUCAUGUUUUAUUUCUAUUAACUCAAACUAUGUUAUAAUCAUAAUUUGGGGACCGUGUCCAGCGAACAACUGUGGUUGUAUGAAAGAUACAGAAUAGAGUAGUGGCAGCCGAAUUCUCUCCAGUUUGAACCAAGUACAGAACCAGUCAAAGUCAGAAAGGUACGUUAGCUUUGUUAUUUGUUAUUUUUCGUAAAAAUGGCUGAACAAGGAGAUGUUUCUGCGCUAUUUCAAGGUUUAACUGGGGAGUUAAAAGGCUUGUCAACUACUUUAAAACACCAUGGCGUUUCUCAGUUAGUCGAAACAUAUUCAGGGGAAAGACAAAAUUUUGAAACUUGGAUAAA